Molecule: ribosomal RNA, 253 nt
Filed under: uncultured bacterium
Lineage: Bacteria
Description: partial 16S ribosomal RNA
Rfam family: Bacterial small subunit ribosomal RNA
Source: RNAcentral
UACAGGGGGGGCAAGCGUUGUUCGGAAUUACUGGGCGUAAAGGGCCAGUAGGCGGCCGACUAAGUCCGACGUGAAAUCCCCAGGCUUAACCUGGGAACUGCGUCGGAUACUGGUUGGCUUGAAUUCGGGAGAGGGAUGCAGAAUUCCAGGUGUAGCGGUGAAAUGCGUAGAUAUCUGGAGGAAUACCGGUGGCGAAGGCGGCAUCCUGGACCGACAUUGACGCUGAGGCGCGAAAGCUAGGGGAGCAAACGGG